UGUGCUUACGACCCAGGCCUGUUUUAAACUUGGUCUCGCGGGCGCCCUCCCCUUUCGACCGCGCAGCCUUCUUGGGUGCAGUGGAAGAGUCCUGGUGGUCAUAAGGUCUUGGUGCUUAAAAGAAUUGAAGAUCCUGAAGACAAGUUAUCCAAAACAGAUUUGACUUCUUCACCCCUUUAUUGAUGGACAAGUUGAUUGCAAGGGAGUAUAAAGGAUUUUUUUAAAAUGAAUUUGCAGCAUGACUGGUGGGU
Molecule: long non-coding RNA, 251 nt
Organism: Dipodomys ordii (Ord's kangaroo rat)
Lineage: Eukaryota; Metazoa; Chordata; Mammalia; Rodentia; Heteromyidae
Exons: 3
Source: RefSeq, a predicted model, not a curated record